This 252-nucleotide ribosomal RNA is filed under the name uncultured bacterium. Its description in RNAcentral is "partial 16S ribosomal RNA". It matches the Rfam family "Bacterial small subunit ribosomal RNA", at positions 524 to 776 of the family's 1533-position model. The record is from RNAcentral.
CACGUAGGGCGCAAGCGUUGUCCGGAAUUAUUGGGCGUAAAGAGCUCGUAGGCGGUCUGUCGCGUCGAAUGUGAAACCCGGGGCUCAACCCCGGGCCUGCAUUCGAUACGGGCAGACUAGAGUUCGGUAGGGGAGUCUGGAAUUCCUGGUGUAGCGGUGAAAUGCGCAGAUAUCGGGAGGAACACCAGUGGCGAAGGCGGCUUUCUGGACGAUAACUGACGCUGAGACGCGAAAGCGUGGGGAGCAAACAGG